RNAcentral lists this non-coding RNA (23 nucleotides) under Cricetulus griseus (Chinese hamster). Lineage: Eukaryota; Metazoa; Chordata; Mammalia; Rodentia; Cricetidae. The record is from RNAcentral.
ACAAGGCUCGAAGAAAAAGAUUG